Molecule: ribosomal RNA, 382 nt
Filed under: uncultured Paracoccaceae bacterium
Lineage: Bacteria; Pseudomonadati; Pseudomonadota; Alphaproteobacteria; Rhodobacterales; Paracoccaceae
Description: bacterial SSU rRNA
Rfam family: Bacterial small subunit ribosomal RNA
Source: RNAcentral
UAGUGAGUUUGAUCCUGGCUCAGAACGAACGCUGGCGGCAGGCCUAACACAUGCAAGUCGAACGGGAUCUUCGGAUCUAGUGGCGGACGGGUGAGUAACGCGUGGGAACGUGCCCUUUGGUUCGGAAUAGCCCUGGGAAACUGGGAGUAAAUACCGGAUACGGUCGAGAGACGAAAGAUUUAUCGCCGAAGGAUCGGCCCGCGUUGGAUUAGGUAGUUGGUGGGGUAAUGGCCCACCAAGGCGACGAUGCAUAGCCGACCUGAGAGGGUGAUCGGCCACACUGGGGACUGAGACACGGCCCAGACUCCGUACGGGAGGCAGCAGGUGGGGGAAUUUUUCCGCAAUGGGGCGAAACGCCUGACGCAGCAACGCCGCGUGCGGG